ACGAAAGCCUGUAACUGUUUUACAUGAUGGUAGGAUUGUUGGUGUCCUUUUUUCUGUUUCAUAAACAUGCAUGAUUUCAAGUACGUCUUGCUACUUCUGUUUACACUUAGGUCACACUAUACAUACCCCUCUGGGUUUUCUUCUAUUUUCUUUCUAGUUCUUGUUCUUGUUCUUGUCUAUUUCCUCUUAUCUCCAUGGGGAAGUGGAACAGAAUUCUUCCUCCGUAAGCCAUGCAUGUUGUAAGAGGCGACUAAAAUGCCGGGAGCAAGGGGCUAGUAACCCCUUCUCCUGUAUAUAUUACUAAAUUUAAAAGGCAAAACUUUCGUUUUUCCUUUCGGGCCACCCCACCUCAGUGGGAUACGGCUGAUACGUUGAAAGAAUAAUAAUAAUAAAUCUUUAUUUCUACAAGUACAGUACAUAAUACAACUUAAACUGACCUAGCUGACAUCAAUGGCACACCAUACAGAAAGCCCCAGGUUAUGCACAGCAUUUCAGGUAAUUAGGUUAAUUUUAUUUCCAGGACAGGACCCACACCAGUUGGCUAAUGCCCAGAUACCUACUUUGCAGCUAGGUGAACAGGGACAGCAGGUGUCUUAAGAAAUCAUUCUCAAGGUUUCCACUCUUACCAGGGAUCAAACCAUGGGCACUCAACAUGCAAGCCUGAGUCGUAGGGAGUCAACUGUGAGAGAGUCAACAGCCAGCUGACCAGCCUGAAGGGAGCCAACGCCAUCUCCCAGAAGCUCACUGCAGAACUCGAAGGACACUGGAUCAGGUGGCGAACUCCUGUUAAUGAAGCAUGUACUGUUUGAGGAUUGUAGGACAACCUAUAGUUAUCUGCAUUUGAUUCAGACACAACCUGCCCAGUUAAGUAUUUGAAAGAAAAAUUAAUUAAAUUGAAAUGGAAUUAAUUACUAUUAAAAAUUCUCCAAGUUUAAAGGUGUAUAUUUAAAAACCACUUACAAGCUGCAAUAUUUAGC
Long non-coding RNA from Cherax quadricarinatus, 977 nucleotides. RefSeq lists it as uncharacterized. Lineage: Eukaryota; Metazoa; Arthropoda; Malacostraca; Decapoda; Parastacidae. The record is from RefSeq and is a predicted model, not a curated record.